GUGAACCAGCGGAAGGAUCAUUAAAGAGUAAGGGUCUCCGGCCCGAACCUCCAACCCUUUGUUGUUAAAACUACCUUGUUGCUUUGGCGGGACCGUUCGGUCUCGAGCGCACCGGUCUUCGGAUUGGUGAGCGCCCGCCAGAGUCCAACCAAACUCUUGUAUUAAACCAGUCGUCUGAGUAUAAAAUUUUAAUUUAAUUAAAACUUUCAACAACGGAUCUCUUGGUUCUCGCAUCGAUGAAGAACGCAGCGAAAUGCGAUAAGUAAUGUGAAUUGCAGAAUUCAGUGAAUCAUCGAAUCUUUGAACGCACAUUGCGCCCCUUGGUAUUCCGAGGGGCAUGCCUGUUCGAGCGUCAUUACACCACUCAAGCACUGCUUGGUAUUGGGCACCCGUCCGCCGAAAGGCGGGCGUGCCUCGAAGACCUCGGCGGGGUCUAAUCGGCUUCGGGCGUAGUAGAGUUAAAUCAAAACGUCUUAUAAGUCUGGUUAGAACCCAUUGCCGUAAAACCUUUUAUUUUCUAGGUUGACCUCGGAUCAGGUAGGGAUACCCGCUGAACUUAAGCAUAUCAAUAAGCGGAGG
Molecule: ribosomal RNA, 579 nt
Filed under: Dothideomycetes sp. genotype 671 JMUR-2016
Lineage: Eukaryota; Fungi; Ascomycota; Dothideomycetes
Description: eukaryotic LSU rRNA
Rfam family: 5.8S ribosomal RNA (bases 202-355)
Source: RNAcentral